This 72-nucleotide transfer RNA is filed under the name bacterium. RNAcentral describes it as "tRNA-Arg". It matches the Rfam family "tRNA". Rfam says of the family: Transfer RNA (tRNA) molecules are approximately 80 nucleotides in length. The record is from RNAcentral.
GUCCCCGUAGCUUAACGGAUAAAGCAAUUUUCUCCUAAGAAAUUGAUAGGGGUUCGAUUCCUCUCGGGGACA